CCCUUAGAUGUCCUGGGCUGCACGCGCGCUACACUGAUGUGUCCAGUAAGCACCUAUCCUCUUCCGAAAGGAACGGGUAACCUUUGCAAAGCACAUCGUGAUGGGGAUAGAUUAUUGCAAUUAUUAGUCUUGAACGAGGAAUUCCUAGUAAGCACAAGUCAUCAGCUUGUGUUGAUUACGUCCCUGCCCUUUGUACACACCGCCCGUCGCUCCUACCGAUUGAAUGUUCCGGUGAGCUCUUCGGACUGCGCGGUCUGCAGUUUCUGCGUUCCGUGCGGAAAGUUGCGCAAACCUUAACAUUUAGAGGAAGGAGAAGUCGUAACA
RNAcentral lists this ribosomal RNA (324 nucleotides) under uncultured eukaryote. RNAcentral describes it as "partial 18S ribosomal RNA". It matches the Rfam family "Eukaryotic small subunit ribosomal RNA", at positions 1470 to 1796 of the family's 1831-position model. The record is from RNAcentral.